Molecule: transfer RNA, 69 nt
Filed under: Bathypolypus sponsalis
Lineage: Eukaryota; Metazoa; Mollusca; Cephalopoda; Octopoda; Octopodidae
Description: tRNA-Val
Source: RNAcentral
CAAAAAUUAACAUAAAAAAUGUGUUUCACUUACGUUGAGAUUAUAAUUAAAUUAUUUAAUUAUUUUUGA